CUCCGUGCGGCUGAUGACAACGCUGCUGCUGAGACUCUGUGAUUGGUCAGUCUCAAAGUAAACGCUCUGACGCACGGUGG
Diceros bicornis minor is the source of this 80-nucleotide small nucleolar RNA. RefSeq annotates it as small nucleolar RNA U105B. The transcript has a single exon. The record is from RefSeq and is a predicted model, not a curated record. NCBI's taxonomy places the organism in Eukaryota, Metazoa, Chordata, Mammalia, Perissodactyla, Rhinocerotidae.